Molecule: ribosomal RNA, 441 nt
Filed under: uncultured bacterium
Lineage: Bacteria
Description: partial 16S ribosomal RNA
Rfam family: Bacterial small subunit ribosomal RNA
Source: RNAcentral
CCUACGGGUGGCAGCAGUGGGGAAUAUUGCACAAUGGGGUAAACCCUGAUGCAGCGACGCCGCGUGAGCGAGGAAGUAUCUCGGUAUGUAAAGCUCUAUCAGCAGGGACGAAAAAAGACGGUACCUGACCAAGAAUCCCCGGCUAACUACGUGCCAGCAGCCGCGGUAAUACGUAGGGGGCAAGCGUUAUACGGAUUUACUGGGUGUAAAGGGAGCGUAGACGGCAAGGACAGGCCGAAGGUAAAGGGCAGGGGUUAACCCUGUACAUGCUUUUGAAACUGUGGUGCUAGAGUGCAGGAGAGGUAAGGGGAAUGCGUGGUGUAGCGGUGAAAUGCGUAGAUAUGAGGAAGAACACCAGUGGCGAAGGCAGCAUACUGGACUGUAACUGACGUUGAGGCUCGAAAGCGUGGGGAGCAAACAGGAUUAGAUACCCGGGUAGUC